UACGUAGGGUGCAGGCGUUAAUCGGAAUUACUGGGCGUAAAGCGUGCGCAGGCGGUUUGCUAAGACAGGUGUGAAAUCCCCGGGCUUAACCUGGGAACUGCGCUUGUAACUGGCAAGCUGGAGUGUGGCAGAGGAGACUGGAAUUCCUGGUGUAGCAGUGAAAUGCGUAGAUAUCAGGAGGAAUACCGAUGGCGAAGGCAGGUCUCUGGGCUGACACUGACGCUCAUGCACGAAAGCGUGGGGAGCAAACAGG
Molecule: ribosomal RNA, 253 nt
Filed under: uncultured bacterium
Lineage: Bacteria
Description: partial 16S ribosomal RNA
Rfam family: Bacterial small subunit ribosomal RNA
Source: RNAcentral